RNAcentral lists this long non-coding RNA (541 nucleotides) under Pan troglodytes (chimpanzee). RNAcentral's name for it is "long non-coding RNA NONPTRT016424". Lineage: Eukaryota; Metazoa; Chordata; Mammalia; Primates; Hominidae. The record is from RNAcentral.
GGGCUGAGAAGGAAGCUGAAGAGAUGGAGUGGAGGUCAGAUUUCUGAGCCUCCUGGAGGCUGCACCUUCAGAUGAUCAGAUAUGUGGCAGGAGUGGGAAAGGGACACAGAAUGAAGGGGGAUCCGUUUCUCUAAUCCAGGAACUGACUUCUUCCUCCUCAUGGUCCACUUGAAAUUCCAGGAAAAGGAACAGAUGUGCAAGGAAUCGCAGCCUGGAGAAACAUAGUGUAUUUGGAGACUUGCAUGUAAAUGGAUAAGUAGGUGUAGGAGGAGAAGCUGGGACACAUUUUCCUAAAUUUUAUUCCACAAAACACUAGUUCUGUGAGACGCUCUAUGGAAAUUGGUCCCGUGAUCAGUACAUUUGGGGCAUGCUGCAUGUUGUAUUCCCUGUUGUCUUAUAUUGGAUUUCCUGGAGAUAGACUCUGAGGUGGAGACUUAUGUGCAGAAGGUCUCUUGGCGAAUGCUCCAGGGAGGCGUGCGUGUAAGGAAGUGAGACAGACCCACCUCAGGCCCCUGGGACUUCCACUGGCCAGACGCCCUGU